GAUCCUGGCUCAGGACGAACUCUGNCGGCGUGCUUAACACAUGCAAGUCGAACGAUGAUCCGGUGCUUGCACCGGGGAUUAGUGGCGAACGGGUGAGUAACACGUGAGUAACCUGCCCUUGACUCUGGGAUAAGCCUGGGAAACCGGGUCUAAUACCGGAUACGACCUGUCACCGCAUGGUGGUGGGUGGAAAGAUUUUUUGGUUUUGGAUGGACUCGCGGCCUAUCAGCUUGUUGGUGAGGUAAUGGCUCACCAAGGCGACGACGGGUACCGGCCUGAGAGGGUGACCGGCCACACUUGGACUGAGACACGGCCCAGACUCCUACAGGAGGCAGCAGUGGGGAAUAUUGCACAAUGGGCGAAAGCCUGAUGCAGCGACGCCGCGUGAGGGAUGACGGCCUUCGGGUUGUAAACCUCUUUCAGCAGGGAAGAAGCGAAAGUGACGGUACCUGCAGAAGAAGCGCCGGCUAACUACGUGC
Molecule: ribosomal RNA, 479 nt
Filed under: Crystallibacter crystallopoietes
Lineage: Bacteria; Bacillati; Actinomycetota; Actinomycetes; Micrococcales; Micrococcaceae
Description: bacterial SSU rRNA
Rfam family: Bacterial small subunit ribosomal RNA
Source: RNAcentral